UGGGGAAUAUUGGACAAUGGGCGAAAGCCUGAUCCAGCCAUGCCGCGUGUGUGAAGAAGGUCUUCGGAUUGUAAAGCACUUUAAGUUGGGAGGAAGGGCAUUAACCUAAUACGUUAGUGUUUUGACGUUACCGACAGAAUAAGCACCGGCUAACUCUGUGCCAGCAGCCGCGGUAAUACAGAGGGUGCAAGCGUUAAUCGGAAUUACUGGGCGUAAAGCGCGCGUAGGUGGUUUGUUAAGUUGGAUGUGAAAUCCCCGGGCUCAACCUGGGAACUGCAUUCAAAACUGACUGACUAGAGUAUGGUAGAGGGUGGUGGAAUUUCCUGUGUAGCGGUGAAAUGCGUAGAUAUAGGAAGGAACACCAGUGGCGAAGGCGACCACCUGGACUAAUACUGAACUGAGGUGCGAAAGCGUGGGGAGCAAACA
This 426-nucleotide ribosomal RNA is filed under the name uncultured bacterium. RNAcentral describes it as "partial 16S ribosomal RNA". It matches the Rfam family "Bacterial small subunit ribosomal RNA", at positions 355 to 774 of the family's 1533-position model. The record is from RNAcentral.